UACGAAGGGGGCUAGCGUUGCUCGGAAUCACUGGGCGUAAAGGGCGCGUAGGCGGCCGUUCAAGUCGGGGGUGAAAGCCUGUGGCUCAACCACAGAAUGGCCCUCGAUACUGGAUGGCUCGAGACCGGAAGAGGUUGGUGGAACUGCGAGUGUAGAGGUGAAAUUCGUAGAUAUUCGCAAGAACACCAGUGGCGAAGGCGGCCAACUGGUCCGGUUCUGACGCUGAGGCGCGAAAAGCGUGGGGAGCAAACAGG
RNAcentral lists this ribosomal RNA (254 nucleotides) under uncultured bacterium. RNAcentral's name for it is "partial 16S ribosomal RNA". It matches the Rfam family "Bacterial small subunit ribosomal RNA", at positions 524 to 776 of the family's 1533-position model. The record is from RNAcentral.